AUUAUUUAACGGCCGCGGUAUCCUAACCGUGCAAAGGUAGCAUAAUCACUUGCCCAUUAAUUGUGGGCUAGAAUGAAAGGACUAACGAAAUAAAAGCUGUCUCUAUAAGUAUACUAAAAAUUAAUCUCUAACUGAAGAGUGUUAGAUACAUUUGAAGGACAAGAAGACCCUAUAGAGCUUUAUCCUAACAAAGACAAAAACUUUCUUAAGAUUCGGUUGGGGCGACCUGGGAAUCAUUUAUCAUCCCUAGACAAAAGAUCAAUAAAUCUAGAUAACGACCCUUUUUAAGAUCAUAAAAACAAGCUACCUUAGGGAUAACAGACUAAUCCCAUUAAAGAGUCCUUAUCAAUAAUGGGGAUUGGCACCUCGAUGUUGGCUUAGGGAAUCUAUAUGGCGCAAAAGUCAUAUAAAGAUGGUUUGUUCAACCAAUAAAACCCUACAUGAGCUGAGUUCAGACCGGCGUAAGCCAGGUUAGUUUCUAUCCUCAAUAACAAAAAUCUACUUAUAGUACGAAAGGACGUAAGUAUGAGCAACAAUUGUAAUCAAUGAAUUUAUAUAAAAUAAAUUAAACAAAAAUAACUAUCCACUAUA
Molecule: ribosomal RNA, 591 nt
Filed under: Cernosvitovia sturanyi dacica
Lineage: Eukaryota; Metazoa; Annelida; Clitellata; Crassiclitellata; Lumbricidae
Description: partial 16S ribosomal RNA
Rfam family: Bacterial large subunit ribosomal RNA
Source: RNAcentral